Molecule: unclassified non-coding RNA, 2929 nt
Filed under: Amphibalanus amphitrite
Lineage: Eukaryota; Metazoa; Arthropoda; Thecostraca; Balanomorpha; Balanidae
Description: cytoplasmic dynein 2 intermediate chain 2-like, transcript variant X7
Source: RNAcentral
CACUAUGUGAUGUUAGCGGUAUCAUGAUGUUUGGUUUCUAUGGAAAACUUAAAAAUUCUGGUACUCAACAUGGGAUGAUGUCGGUUGGUCACACAUCAGUUUGCUGAUGUUUCCACUUUCCAUGUAAACUGAAACCCAAUACCAUGACCAUGACACCAGGAGCAUUGGGUAGCAUUAAGCAGUGAAACAGGGUCCAGGCCCAGGGCACUAAAGAGUUGUAAGAAAUGAUAUAUAUUCUGCACCAACACUUAACCAAUGAGGAUACUAUAUAAUAGGCUAACUUGCCUCUCUGCAACAUUGGUCAUGCUGAAGGUUUUUUUCAGAAGUGGCUGUUUGGUGGGUGGUAACUGCAUCAAAAAAGCUAUCAAGUAAUAUAAGCUAAAUAUGGCUCAUACCAUGGAAUGGAGGAAAAGAAGAAAACAAUGACAGCUCAGUAAUGAGGGAGAAAACCACAGAUUCUUCUGAUCCUAAAUGCUUUCCAAUAUCCCAGUAUACCAGCAUGACCUGUGGUUAAAUUGCUAGAGCAUACCACUAUUGGUGGUGAAACUUGAAAGUGUGUUUGUCCUGGUGGUGGGAACUACAGUUGACAGUUGGAGUUAGGUCUUCAGAGUCCAGACAGACUAUACUGUAUGGGCAGCUCUAAUUUUGACAUUUUUAUACACCAGGCAACUAUAUUUUCUGUGGUGGAUAGGUGAUUUAUAAGCACCUUAAAAAUAGCUGUCAGUGAAAUAGAAGCUCCUUGUCCCAUAAAACUGACAUGCUUAAAUUUAAGGAUGUCAAUUUUGAUGUAAUAGGAUUUAAAUCAUCAUGGAAGGCUAAAAGCAAACAGUCAGAGAGUGGCUCUCAAACAGAACCAUUGAAGAUAGAGGAGAGUGAAACCCAGACAAUUGGCCACGAUGAAAAAGAGAGUCAGACGGACCCGGAGCCGGAGGUGGUGGUGCCGCCCGCCGACGCCGCCGUGCAGCCCUCGCUGGUCGCCUUCCUCGGCCGCGCCGUGCCGCUCGUGCUGCGCGAGCUGGAGCGCUCGGAGAAGUCGCGCGCCUUCGACGGCUACCAGCUGAUCGAGGAGGAUGACGACCAGCCGGUGCGGCGCCUGCUGACGCUGCGGCUGGCCGGCCGGCCGGCCGACACCGGCACCACUGGCGACCAGGUGUCGUGCCUGUCGUGGAGCUGCACCGGCUCGGUGGUGGCUGUGGGGUACGGCGCCGGCGAGCACCAGUCCUGGUGCGAACACUCGACCUCACUGGCGCUCUGGAACGUACACCGGAAAGAUCUGAACCCGAACCAGCCGUACCAGAAGCUGGAGCUGCGCUCCUGCGCGAGCUACUGCCGGUUUCACCCCAGCGAGCCGAGCGUCCUCGCCGUCGGCAUGGUCACAGGCGAGCUGCAGCUGUACAACCUGUCCCGUGAGGAGGACCCGCUGCUGGGCACCACGUCGGGCAUCAUCCAGGGCCACCGCGAGCCGGUGAGCGCGCUGCACUGGCUGGCCCGCUCGGCCGGCUACAGCCUGGUCUCGGCCUCGCGCGACGGCCGCAUGCUCGUCUGGAAGUACUCCGAGGCCAAACAGCAGCUGCAGCUGGUCAAACAGUUCCAGCUGAUGGCUGGCCAAGUGCCGCGCUCGGCCGGCCGGCGCGCCGCCAGAGCUGACUCAGAGGCUGGGCUGACGGCACUGGCCUUUAGCCACGACAACCCGGACCAGUUCACCAUCGGGUCAGAGGGCGGCGGCGUGUUCCUCUGCUCGUUCGCCUCCGAGGUGCCUAUCACCGCGAUGACCGGUGAGCGCACUGAGGGCCUUCUAAACCCGGUGACGUCGACGUUCGAGCCGCACCAGGGCCAGGUGCUGGUGCUGCAGUGCUCAAAGUUCCACAGGAACAUCUUCAUAUCGGCCGGCUCGGACAACGAAGUGCGCGUCUACAACACACUACAGAUCUCUCCGCUGCUGUCCAUCAGUCUGGAGGCGGAGGUGACGGCGGCCGCGCUCUCGCCCUCCCGGCCGCUGGUCGUGUUCGUCACCACUGGCAGCGGCGAGCAGCACCUGUUCGACUUCACCCGCCGCGGCGCGCCACUGCACACCAUGCGACUGCACGAGAAACCGCUGGUGGUCACCGCGCUGCGGCUCAACGACAAACAGCCCAGUCUGCUGGCGACCGGCGACGCCAAGGGCGCCGUGCACGUCUGGUCGCUGGCCACCGAGUACGUGUCGCCCAAGACGCACGAGCUGGCUGAGAUCAACCGGCUGGGCGGCGUUCAAACGGAUGGCUAGAGACCGCAGUCAUCUGAACGCUCCCCGCCGACCGCCGCGCCGGAUAUCUAGUCAAGCAGGAAAUCCUCGGCGGCACCCCACAUACAGCACACGGCACGCACACCAUCCCAGCCACAGCAGACGCCGCCACGAUAUAAGUGGGUUUCGUGUGAUAUAUUUGUAAUCUAGUCCGUCCACGGCUGUGCCUCGACUUCUGCUGCGGGCUCCCGAUGUGGUUACUGUGUGUUCACUGCGACAACGCAUCGACUACUGCACGCGUGAUGGUUGCGUUUAUUUGAAACGCAUGAUCUCAGCUGUACCUAUAUCGAUCUCAUUUAUUUUACUCACGUGACGUUACGACACCUGAUAAGUCAGUUCAUAUGGUGCGGCCUUUAUUGCCUCACCCUAGGACAGCGGAUUGGCCUGUUGAUUUCACGGUUAUCCAUAAUUGAAGUCAACGAAAUACACUUAUGGAUUACAUUUAAAGUUCUCUCCAUUUUGAAGUGGUACCAAAUAUUGAUUACUUAUUGAAGUUCCACAUUAGAAACCUGUUGGAAAUCCCUUUACCAUCUGACCCUUGAGAGAACACGGGAAGCCAGUCGACGUAACUACCUCAAAUGUCAGUGUGCGACUCCGUCGCCCGCGCCUGAUCAUCGUUCAAAGUUGAAAUAAAGCCCAAUUCACCUG